AGGAAGGUAGUGUAGUUAACACCUGCAUUAUUUGACGUUACCUACAGAAGAAGACACCGGCUAACUCCGUGCCAGCAGCCGCGGUAAUACGGAGGGUGCGAGCGUUAAUCGGAAUUACUGGGCGUAAAGACGCAUGCAGGCGGCCGUCGUUAAGUCAGAUGUGAAAGACCCGGGGCGUUAACCUCGGAAUUGCAUUUGAAACUGGCAGGCUAGAGUCUUGUAGAGGGGGGUAGGAAUUUCUAGGUGUAGCGGUGAAAUAGCGUAGAGAUCUGAAGGAAUACCAGUGGCGAAGGCGGCCCCCUCGGACAAAGACUGACGCUCAGAUGCGAAAGCGUGGGGAGCAAACAGGAUUAGAUACCCUGGUAG
This 366-nucleotide ribosomal RNA is filed under the name uncultured bacterium. RNAcentral describes it as "bacterial SSU rRNA". It matches the Rfam family "Bacterial small subunit ribosomal RNA", at positions 441 to 793 of the family's 1533-position model. The record is from RNAcentral.